RNAcentral lists this long non-coding RNA (309 nucleotides) under Cricetulus griseus (Chinese hamster). RNAcentral describes it as "lncRNA (ENSCGRG00000024409.1)". The record is from RNAcentral. Lineage: Eukaryota; Metazoa; Chordata; Mammalia; Rodentia; Cricetidae.
UUUUCUCUGACAAUCAUAUAACUAUUGUUUCUUCCCAUGUCCAUCCAUUUCUUCAUUGUUUCCAGACUUAACAAUCAAGUGCUACAUGGAUCCCACUACACUCCAAGAUUCCUUACAACUACUGGAUUCAAGUCUUGAAAAUCUUAAUGAAAUUCUGAUAUUAGGCCUUUCUUCAUCAUUUCCAAGCUCAACAAUGAAACACUUCAUGGAUCACAGUACCCUCGAAAGCUCCUUCCACCUACUAAGCUCAAGCCUUGAAAAUCUGGGAAAAAUGUUGAUGUCAGGUAAGGGGCUUGCUAAAUGGAACCC